UACGUAGGGUGCAGCGUUGUCCGGAAUUAUUGGGGCGUAAAAGGGACGUCUGCUGAUGGAGGCCGGGUUUCUUCGGUCCGGCUCGUUCGGGGAGUCGUAAAACGUUCGAAAAAGGGCCCCUUGAAACCCGGUGACGCCUUCGAACCCUUUCCCGGGGACCUUGACCGGGAGUCAGGGGUAACCGGGUACGAAGGGAAUCAUUAGACAGGGGGUAGGAACC
Molecule: ribosomal RNA, 220 nt
Filed under: uncultured bacterium
Lineage: Bacteria
Description: partial 16S ribosomal RNA
Source: RNAcentral